ACGCUGGAAGAGCCACGUGUCUCCAUCAGAGUUAAAGAUCCCUUCUCCAAGAAAAUCAUGGAAGACGACUUGCCAGGUGGGGCCUUUGGGGUAAUUAUCGAAUCGGGUUUUCAAGAUGUGCUCUAUAUUUCUCGGGUCACAGGUGACGGUGACGAGACCCUGCUUCUUGGCCAGAAAGGGAAUUGCACAGGUGCACGUCUGGUACGUGCCACCGCAGGCGCGUAGGUUGUCACAGAUCCAGUCAUGCAAGCGAUCACAGUUCUCGAUCAAGCCGGGGAGACUGCCCAAUAAGGGCCAUACAUGUGGGCCCUUUAAUGACCGCCAGAUGAAGGUGAACCACAGUAAGUAAGCAGUGACAGCCGAGAAAAGCAUUAAAGCGGUAGAUGCGUCCAUAGCAUAUCAAGAGAAGGCUUGCUUACCUUAGGAAAAUAAAAACUUUGCACAAAUGCAAGCCCAGAUUCUGUUUUGCUGGAUAGAAGCUUUUGGGUUUUCAACCAUGAGCAGAAGUGAGAAGUAAGAUCAACGUACAAGAAAGUGAAAGAAAUGGAGGCUUUGGGGGGGUGACUUAUUGGAAGAGAAAUGCAGAGAUGGUAAGGGAUGGAGGAGUGGUAGUACAAAAAUGGAGUGUAAUUAUAAAGGAGAUUUAUAGGAGAAAUGUAUUGGAAGCAAUUAUUAAGGACAGACUGUUUCUUAAAAUUGCACCAUUGCCUCUUCUCUCUAUCUAGCAAUCAGACGCAGUACCAUAAAUGCCCUGAGAGGUCGUUGAGACUUUGAUGGUAAAAACACCCAUUUUCAUUUUUCUUAUUUUUUCCCCCAAGGAAACUACUCUAGAAAACCCUCUCUAUCUCUCCAUAUAUAUGGAGUGCACACCUAAUUUUGCAGGCAUUGAAUGAAGAGAAUUUAAUGGGAUUAGUUGAGGAAGCAAGAGUAAGACAAAGCAGAUCAGAGAAAAAAAGAAGAGACACAAAAUUAAGCAAAAGUUGUGUACUGAGAUGGCAAAUAAAAAAAAGGAUUAUGCUAUGUGAUCCAGAGGGUUGUGGGAGAGCUUAAGGAUGGUUCUGUUGUAUUAUGAUCAUAUGGAAAUUAAAACGGCUUUGGUGGGUUACACGAAGCUAGUGUGUUAUGUUUAUAGAGAUUAGAGAGAGAGAGUCUUAAAUGAAAAAGGGAGUGGUCAUGUGGAGUUUUGGUUAGGAUUCGGUGAGCAACCCGCCAACAAUUUAAUAGUAAUAUAGGAUUCUCACUCGUUGCUGUUUUUCUUAUAUCCUUU
This 1267-nucleotide unclassified non-coding RNA is filed under the name Hevea brasiliensis (rubber tree). Lineage: Eukaryota; Viridiplantae; Streptophyta; Magnoliopsida; Malpighiales; Euphorbiaceae. The record is from RNAcentral.